RNAcentral lists this long non-coding RNA (2056 nucleotides) under Canis lupus familiaris (dog). RNAcentral describes it as "lncRNA (ENSCAFG00030010915.1)". Lineage: Eukaryota; Metazoa; Chordata; Mammalia; Carnivora; Canidae. The record is from RNAcentral.
AUGAAAGCUUCUUUUUCACUUGACUUUUUUAAGUCAUGUCAAACUGAAAGAGAAAGUAAAUCAGUUCAGAAAUUGUCCAGUGGCCUUCUUACUCUCCAUCAAAAGAAUGAACAUUGCUGUGGAAAGAAAAACCAACUUCCAUUUGGUUUGAGAGAAAGACCCACAAGAUGUCUCUGCUUGAGGGACAAAAGAUGAAAAUGAAGCUAUACCGCAUAGCUUUGCCGUAAGUAUCUGCCAGCCCUGAUGCAACAAAAGGUGGAAAACUACAGUAUUCUGAGGAGCAUAAGACAGUAGAAUAGAGAAGAGGUAAAAGCCAACCAUGGGAAGGUAGGAGAGGUAAGAAAAAUGGAAAAGCAGCAGGAAGAAGACCUAGUAUAAGAGGAUCACCACCCGCAGGGAUCUGUUCCAUACAAUCACCUUUCUCAUGUGCAUUCCAUCAGUUCAAACUGUCUCUCCAGGACAGUGAGUGCAAGCUCUUUGACAAGUAUAUGGUACCCGUCUAGAACCAGAGCUGUAAUUACUGUGUUUGCUAUGCUGACACCAUUGUCUGACAAAAUAUUGUGCUGAACAUUUUUUUUUCUUUUGCCCUUUGUGCUGGCUUACUUUAGGUAAAAUAACAUCAGUCAGAUUCAUAUCCACCCCAGGUGAAAUCCUAUUACGAUCUAGUCAAAGGCUGGUGUCUACAUUAUUUCUUUGUGCCAGGAUUUCAUUGUAUUAAAUACUGUUGGAAAUCUGGUACUUGUGAAUCUUUUGGUGUUCUGUCGAAAGGGUAUUAUUACACACUGUAAUUUAGAAAGCAUUAAAGAACCGUUGCUGAAUGUGUGAAUUGCUUUUGUUUGGAUUAGAGCUGAGUUUUGCAAAUCGUGCCCUGCUAAACUCCAGAAGAGUGAAAGUGGGUUCGAUGGCCAAAAAUGUUUGGGAAGUACAAUGCAUGUUAGAAUAUUAAGGGCUCUGAGAAGUCAUGUAUUUAAAAAAGUGUUCAACUUUUAUAAACCAAGAUUUAUCAAAUAUAUUUGACCCUUCUCCUCUUUCUCCCGCUCUCUCUUUCUUUCAAUUUUCAUCAUAAAAUUCCUAAUGUGGGAUACCAAGUUUGAGGAAUGGAAAUGCUGGGUCAGGGUAUUCAUUCUUGCAUUUAUAGGGCACCUGCCAUGUGUUGGGAAAUGGGCCAGGCUGGCAAAACAAAGACAAAUAAGGCACAGUGCUCGUUCCUGAAAGGCUAGCAGAGGAGAUGCAAUGCAAAUGAUAUUACAGAGUUGUUUUGUUUUACUUUUUAAUUGUGGGAAAACAGGAGACAAAGCAACUGAACAGAAAAGAAGAGAGGUUAGGAACAUGUCUGGGAAAGCUUCCCUGGUGAGGAAGUCUCACUGUAAGAAUACAUUCAUGCAAAUGUCAGGUACUAGAGAUCUAUAAAAUAGCCAAUGGGGGAGAGGGUGGGGGAGGGAAGACCCUCUCAAACAUCCUCUACUAAACCAUUUUUAAGAUAGAUUCUAACAACAUAAAUUCUUCCUACCUCAGGACAUUGAUUAUGUCAACAUGUCUCCUUUAAGAUAGCUAGCUCUUAUUUCAGGGAGUUUCGUAGAAGAUGAGUAGUGGCCACAAAGAUAAUCUGCAUCUUGUUUUCUUCAACACAUAUACACUAACCAUUUUGGUCUUAAUUGGACAUCUGUUGAGAUCCUAGCUCUCUUGCCAUAGCUGGACAGGGAUUUAAGGAAUGUGCCAGGUUUCCCUGGCUGUGAACUUGUUUUUUCUUGUAUCCAACAUGCAUACUGGCAUAAGCCUUAUUAACUAGUUAUUCAUUGGAUGGGUAGUGGGAAUGGGUUGGAAUCCUUGAUGUGGUUCCAAACAUUGCUGGCUCUCUCAGCCUUAAAACCAACAGCCCAAAGACAUCUGAACAUCUUUGAUGUGUCCCAUAUAGUACCUAACACACUAGGCAUGCAGCAGCACCAUUAUAGACAAGUGGAAUGGAAAUGAACUGGUGGUGUUCUCUAAUAAAGAAAGAUGGUAUGCCCUCCACUCUGCCAAUCAAUUCACACACAUUAUUUUGUUUAAUCUUUAC